UUUACACAUUGGCUUUCCAACACAUCAUGCAUAUACUUAUGAUUAAACAUUCAUGAACAACAACUUCAACAUGCACAUGAACUCCAAGAACAAGACUAAAUAUCAUUAUGAAGAUUAACAAGAACAAUCAUCACAUCUCCUUCCAUAAUAUCAUAUAUUCAUAAGCUUCAACCAAGUUUAAGAAACACAAAUGUUUAGCCCAUAAAGCUCACGACAACACAAACAAUUCUUGCAAAUACUUCAAAGUUCAACAUGGAAUUAUGAAAUACCACCAAAAAGCAAGGAUUAUAGGUUGAAUGAUUGAAUCUUGAGUGGUGUUAAACUCCUCUUUGGCUCAUCCAAGCUCCCCAAAUGUAGAAUUUUGAGAGAGAAAAUCACCUCCAAGACCAACACACCUAAAAAAUGAGUUGAAACUCAAAUUUAUAAUGCUGGUCGAUCGGCACGACCAUGCCAAUCUUUGGCAUGGUCGUGCUUGGUCUGUAUCAGUUACACUUUUCGUCUGUCAUUCUUGUUUGCUACCAUUUUUGGCAAAAUACCGCUCAAAAGUUUUCGAGGCGAGCAUGGUCGUGCCAGGUUUUGGCAUGACCAUGCCAGGUCAGUUUUCACCGGUAAUCUUCGAUGGAAAUCUCAUGAACUAGUUGUACCUGGGUUGAUUUGGCCGAGCACGACCAUGCCAAUCAGAAAUCUUGUCCAUUUUUGUUAGUGCUAGCGUUUGGCAUGAUGAUGCUGGUGCUUGGAUGACUGGGCACAACCGUGCCAGGGGAUGGCAUGGCCGUGCCAAUCUUGUUCAUUUUGGAUGGUGCUGGCGUUUGGUAUGAUGGUGCUGGUACUCGGAUGAUUGGGCACGACCGUACUAGGGGAUGGCAUGACCGUGCCAUAUCUGGCAGUUUGCUGGAAUCAUUCGUUUUUGCUCCAUUUUGCUCCAAAAGCCUUCGUUUUACCACAUGGCCGAAGCCCAGACCUGUAUUUUCACAAACAACUCAAAUAUGUACCAAAAUCAAUGAAAAUACAAAGAGUUUUCACAUAAACGGGGAUAAAUUUGACGUUAAAAGAUGUAUGCAUUCUUAUACAUCAUAUAUAGAUGCUCAUCCAAAACCCUAAACCUCUAAUUUGAUUUAUGUAUUUCUAUCUCUGUGUUGCUCUCAUAUAUUGAUUUCAAUUUUUUGAUAAUUAAUUUUAUUUCAAUGAUAAUCGAUUGUGGCUUUGACUUUGUAGUAUAGUAGUUUUUGCAGGUUAUCUCUGUCGUGAUGGUUGUUCAUUCCAACGAACUUUGUCUCGUGUCACAUUAGAAAAUGCACUUUGGUUCCAGGUUGCUAAAGGACUUUCUGCAUCAUCAUCACCUAGAGAACAGGCUGGCACAAAGAAUACAACCCCUUCAACGUUGAACCAUAGGUGUUGAGAGGUGUUGAAAACUGUUGAUGUUGCGAUAUUAAACAAUAUAACUCCUCACACGACUGGAAUAAUGGACGGACUAUGUAUUGCAUUUGAGGUAAAUUUAUUUAGAUUUUUAUUGCAUUGAUGGUAAAAUCUACUAUUCGUUUACUUUUUAGUCAAGCUUGCUUAUUUUGUUGUUAAUAUGUUGAUGUGCAAUUAUCCCCAUAUUAGAUCAUUACAAAGAGGAUUCUAAAUGAAGUGCUUUGACCUUUACAAUGCUUUGACCUUUAUAAAUUAUCCCCAUAUUAGAUGAUUACAAGAGGAUUCUAAACAAAGUUUUUAUCUAAAUAUUGACUAUUUAAUUACUAAGAAGUGUUUUGACCUUUAAAAUGUAUUGUUUUCUUGCAUGUUUAAUUGAUGGUCACCUUUCCAUCUUCAGUAAAAUCUUGACUCUAAUCUUUAAAAAAUACUCGAUAAACAGUCAACGUGCUCUACAAAUGGUAUGUUUUCAUUUUUGUAAUUGUCAAUAACUUUUUAUUUUUUUCAAUAUAAUUAUUGUCAAUCUAUAUGAAACAUCAUAUUUCUAAGAAAUCCAGCAUUUAACACACAAAGUUCUUUUGUUGCAACUGGUCUAUGUCGAUCUGGUGAUCCUAACGAACCUGGUUCCAGUCGGCUUGGAACAUCUCUAACAGAUGUU
Long non-coding RNA from Helianthus annuus (common sunflower), 2071 nucleotides. RefSeq lists it as uncharacterized. The transcript is spliced from 3 exons. Lineage: Eukaryota; Viridiplantae; Streptophyta; Magnoliopsida; Asterales; Asteraceae. The record is from RefSeq and is a predicted model, not a curated record.